ACUCCUACGGGAGGCAGCAGUAGGGAAUAUUGGUCAAUGGGUGAGAGCCUGAACCAGCCAUGCCGCGUGCAGGAAGACGGCCUUCUGGGUUGUAAACUGCUUUUACCAGGGGAUAAAACGACUCUGCGGAGUUAAUUGAAGGUACCUGGAGAAUAAGCACCGGCUAACUACGUGCCAGCAGCCGCGGUAAUACGUAGGGUGCAAGCGUUGUCCGGAUUUAUUGGGUUUAAAGGGUGCGUAGGCGGGCUAUUAAGUCAGUGGUGAAAUCCAGCAGCUUAACUGUUGAUGUGCCAUUGAUACUGGUAGUCUUGAGUACAGAUGAGGUAGGCGGAAUUGACAGUGUAGCGGUGAAAUGCAUAGAUAUUGUCAAGAACUCCGAUAGCGAAGGCAGCUUACUGGGCUGUAACUGACGCUGAUGCACGAAAGUGUGGGGAUCAAACAGGAUUAGAUACCCUGGUAGGAUAGCGU
Molecule: ribosomal RNA, 468 nt
Filed under: uncultured bacterium
Lineage: Bacteria
Description: bacterial SSU rRNA
Rfam family: Bacterial small subunit ribosomal RNA
Source: RNAcentral